Molecule: ribosomal RNA, 468 nt
Filed under: uncultured bacterium
Lineage: Bacteria
Description: partial 16S ribosomal RNA
Rfam family: Bacterial small subunit ribosomal RNA
Source: RNAcentral
GACGAACGCUGGCGGCGUGCUUAACACAUGCAAGUCGAACGGAAAGGCCCUGCUUUUGUGGGGUGCUCGCGUGGCGAACGGGUGAGUAACACGUGAGUAACCUGCCCUUGACUUUGGGAUAACUUCAGGAAACUGGGGCUAAUACCGGCUAGGAGCUCCUGCUGCAUGGUGGGGUUUGGAAAGUUUCGGCGGUUGGGGGUGGACUUUGGGCUUAUCAGCUUGUUGGUGGGGUAGUGGCUUACCAAGGCUUUGACGGGUAGCCGGCCUGAGAGGGUGAACGGCCACAUUGGGACUGAGAUACGGCGCAGACUCCUACGGGAGGCAGCAGGGGGGAAUAUUGCACAAUGGGCGGAAGCCUGAUGCAGCAACCCCGCGUGCGGGAUGACGGCCUUCGGGUUGUAAACCGCUUUCGCCUGUGACGAAGCGUGAGUGACGGUAAUGGGUAAAGAAGCACCGGCUAACUACGUG